GACGAACGCUGGCGGCGUGCUUAACACAUGCAAGUCGAACGGAAAGGCCCUGCUUUUGUGGGGUGCUCGAGUGGCGAACGGGUGAGUAACACGUGAGUAACCUGCCCUUGACUUUGGGAUAACUUCAGGAAACUGGGGCUAAUACCGGAUAGGAGCUCCUGCUGCAUGGUGGGGGUUGGAAAGUUUCGGCGGUUGGGGAUGGACUCGCGGCUUAUCAGCUUGUUGGUGGGGUAGUGGCUUACCAAGGCUUUGACGGGUAGCCGGCCUGAGAGGGUGACCGGCCACAUUGGGACUGAGAUACGGCCCAGACUCCUACGGGAGGCAGCAGUGGGGAAUAUUGCACAAUGGGCGGAAGCCUGAUGCAGCAACGCCGCGUGCGGGAUGACGGCCUUCGGGUUGUAAACCGCUUUCGCCUGUGACGAAGCGUGAGUGACGGUAAUGGGUAAAGAAGCACCGGCUAACUACGUGCCAGCAGCCGCGGUGAUACGUAGGGUGCGAGCGUUGUCCGGAUUUAUUGGGCGUAAAGGGCUCGUAGGUGGUUGAUCGCGUCGGAAGUGUAAUCUUGGGGCUUAACCCUGAGCGUGCUUUCGAUACGGGUUGACUUGAGGAAGGUAGGGGAGAAUGGAAUUCCUGGUGGAGCGGUGGAAUGCGCAGAUAUCAGGAGGAACACCAGUGGCGAAGGCGGUUCUCUGGGCCUUUCCUGACGCUGAGGAGCGAAAGCGUGGGGAGCGAACAGGCUUAGAUACCCUGGUAGUCCACGCUGUAAACGGUGGGUACUAGGUGUGGGGUCCAUUCCACGGGUUCCGUGCCGUAGCUAACGCUUUAAGUACCCCGCCUGGGGAGUACGGCCGCAAGGUUAAAACUCAAAGGAAUUGACGGGGCCCCGCACAAGCGGCGGAGCAUGCGGAUUAAUUCGAUGCAACGCGUAGAACCUUACCUGGGUUUGACAUGGAUCGGGAGUGCUCAGAGAUGGGUGUGCCUCUUUUGGGGUCGGUUCACAGGUGGUGCAUGGCUGUCGUCAGCUCGUGUCGUGAGAUGUUGGGUUAAGUCCCGCAACGAGCGCAACCCUUGUUCACUGUUGCCAGCACGUUAUGGUGGGGACUCAGUGGAGACCGCCGGGGUCAACUCGGAGGAAGGUGGGGAUGACGUCAAGUCAUCAUGUCCCUUAUGUCCAGGGCUUCACGCAUGCUACAAUGGCUGGUACAGAGAGUGGCGAGCCUGUGAGGGUGAGCGAAUCUCGGAAAGCCGGUCUCAGUUCGGAUUGGGGUCUGCAACUCGACCUCAUGAAGUCGGAGUCGCUAGUAAUCGCAGAUUAGCAACGCUGCGGUGAAUACGUUCCCGGG
RNAcentral lists this ribosomal RNA (1343 nucleotides) under uncultured bacterium. RNAcentral describes it as "16S ribosomal RNA". It matches the Rfam family "Bacterial small subunit ribosomal RNA", at positions 28 to 1378 of the family's 1533-position model. The record is from RNAcentral.